GAUUUGGUUCAGGAUGAACGCUAGCUACAGGCCUAACACAUGCAAGUCGAGGGGCAGCAGAUCGAAAGCUUGCUUUGAUGCUGGCGACCGGCGAAUGGGUGAGUCACGCGUGUCCAACCUGCCCUGUGCCCGGGGGAUAGCCCUUGGAAAUGAGGAUUAACACCCGAUAGGUGGCGCUUCCGCAUGGCGGCGCCAUGAAACCGACACAGGAUGGGGACGCGUCGGAUUAGCUUGACGGCGGGGCGACGGCCCACCGUGGCGACGAUCCGCAGGGGUUCUGAGAGGAAGGUCCCCCCACACUGGCACUGAGACACGGGCCAGACUCCUACGGGAGGCAGCAGUGAGGAAUAUUGGUCAAUGGCCGAGAGGCUGAACCAGCCAAGUAAGCGUGCAGGACGACGGCCCUACGGGUUGUAAACUGCUUUUGCGGGAGGAUAAAGGACGCCACGUGUGGCGUUUUGCAGGUAUCCCGUGAAUAAGGACCGGCUAAUUCCGUGCCAGCCGCCGC
RNAcentral lists this ribosomal RNA (508 nucleotides) under uncultured bacterium. Its description in RNAcentral is "bacterial SSU rRNA". It matches the Rfam family "Bacterial small subunit ribosomal RNA", at positions 15 to 518 of the family's 1533-position model. The record is from RNAcentral.